GACGAACGCUGGCGGCGUGCUUAACACAUGCAAGUCGAACGGAAAGGCCCCUUUGGGGGUACUCGAGUGGCGAACGGGUGAGUAACACGUGAGUAACCUGCCCUUGACUUCGGGAUAACUUCAGGAAACUGGGGCUAAUACCGGAUAGGAAUCCUUGCUGCAUGGUGGGGGUUGGAAAGCUUCGGCGGUUUUGGAUGGACUCGCGGCUGAUCAGCUUGUUGGUGGGGUAGUGGCUUACCAAGGCUUUGACGGGUAGCCGGCCUGAGAGGGCGACCGGCCACAGUGAGACUGAGAUACGGCCCAGACUCCGACGGGAGGCAGCAGUGGGGAAUAUUGCACAAUGGGCGGAAGCCUGAUGCAGCAACGCCGCGUGCGGGAUGACGGCCUUCGGGUUGUAAACCGCAUUCAGCAGGGGCGAAGCUUGUGGUGACGGUACCUGCAGAAGAAGCACCGGCUAACUACGUG
RNAcentral lists this ribosomal RNA (465 nucleotides) under uncultured bacterium. RNAcentral describes it as "partial 16S ribosomal RNA". It matches the Rfam family "Bacterial small subunit ribosomal RNA", at positions 28 to 507 of the family's 1533-position model. The record is from RNAcentral.